CCCUGCUCACCUCAGCGGGAUGGGCGAGGCGCCUUAUCAGCCCAAAGAGCGUCCCUGUGUCCUUAGGAAGAGGAGUUCGCUGUCCAUGGUUAGGUCCUUUCUGUCACGUCACAGGUCAUUUCUGGCUCGCGCUUUGCUGUUCCAGGGCGUGGCUAUCUGAUCGCUUAGGAGGGUGGGCAGGUUGGCGGCAGUUCAGCCUUCCCUCUGGCGGAGAGUCUCAGGAUGGAGAAGACGAAUUAGCCGCGUGCGUGCAUGCCUGCGUCGGGCUUACAUAUGAGCAGCCAGUGUCUCAAAGACACCCAGGAAGAAAGGAAGGUGAAGGAGGACCAGGCAGAAGAAUAAAGGGACCAUCGUAUUCCUCUUAACUCCUCUGAGUUUGAGGGAACCCUGGAGAAGUGAGAAAAAACACAAUGGAAUAAAUCCAGCCUGAUUUAUUCAUGGACAGGAAAGGAUCUCCUUUCCUUGCUGGUUUGCAUAAUUAGAGCUAAUUAAUGUAAAGCAAUUGGAGAUGGAGAUCAGAGGCCAUUUUCAGUUGUUAUUUUCUAAAGACAGCAAUCAAAAUGCAGAUGAGCUCAGCCCUGAAGAGGAUUAGGCUUGCUAUCAAAGGAGAAAAUGGCAAAUGUAUGACUAUUGUGGCUUCUCUGUCCAUAGUGGCUGUCUAGGCUGGUAGCGUGGAUGUGAUGUGGCUGGCUGGCUGACACACUCCUCUUCCUUCAUUGACUGCCUUCUACCAAGAAAGGCUCAGUGCUGCUCUAGUGCUGCCUCUCUGGCCGCUGAAGGGAGGCAGGGGGCCAAGGAGUCUGCUUUCUUCCUACCUUCACCCCAUCCUGGAACAAGAUGGCACUAUUUUAAGGAGAAGCCGAAAAGAAGACUGGAAAGGAGCAACCAGUGAAGGAGAAAAACCAGGAAAAACUAAUGAUCCAUAAAAAGUACUUCAAGAAUGAAACCAUGAUCAAAGUCAGGUUUGAGGAAAUUAAAAGGACCAUAUUCUACUUACUGAAGAGCUGGAGGAUUUAGUCAAAAGCUUGGAGGCCAGUUUCAAGUCCUGUAUGAGUUGUGGGAAGCUAAAGGGUCAGCACUGGAAGGCUGAAAAGUCAGUGC
Long non-coding RNA from Octodon degus (degu), 1101 nucleotides. RefSeq lists it as uncharacterized. Lineage: Eukaryota; Metazoa; Chordata; Mammalia; Rodentia; Octodontidae. The record is from RefSeq and is a predicted model, not a curated record. The transcript is spliced from 4 exons.